Molecule: ribosomal RNA, 830 nt
Filed under: uncultured Bacteroidota bacterium
Lineage: Bacteria; Pseudomonadati; Bacteroidota
Description: bacterial SSU rRNA
Rfam family: Bacterial small subunit ribosomal RNA
Source: RNAcentral
GUGUAGCGGUGAAAUGCAUUGGUAUUACCCCAGAACACCGAUCGCGAAGGCAGCUCACUAAUUUUCAACUGACGCUCAUGCACGAAAGCGUGGGGAUCAAACAGGAUUAGAUACCCUGGUAGUCCACGCUGUAAACGAUGAUCACUAGCUGUUGGUACGCUGAAGUAUCAGUGGCUAAGCGAAAGUGAUAAGUGAUCCACCUGGGGAGUACGACCGCAAGGUUGAAACUCAAAGGAAUUGACGGGGGCCCGCACAAGCGGAGGAGCAUGUGGUUUAAUUCGAUGAUACGCGAGGAACCUUACCAGGGCUCGAACGCAGGGGGGAUAUACCUGAAAGGGUAUAGCCAGCGAUGGUCGCCUGCGAGGUGCUGCAUGGUUGUCGUCAGCUCGUGCCGUGAGGUGUCAGGUUAAGUCCUAUAACGAGCGCAACCCCUAUCCAUAGUUGCCAGCGGGUAAAGCCGGGGACUCUAUGGGAACUGCCUGCGCAAGCAGAGAGGAAGGAGGGGAUGACGUCAAAUCAGCACGGCCCUUAUGUCCUGGGCUACACACGUGCUACAAUGGUCGGUACAGAGGGCAGCGACCACGUGAGUGGGAGCCAAUCCUUAAAAGCCGAUCUCAGUUCGGAUUGGAGUCUGCAACCCGACUCCAUGAAGUUGGAUUCGCUAGUAAUCGCGCAUCAGCCAUGGCGCGGUGAAUACGUUCCCGGGCCUUGUACACACCGCCCGUCAAGCCACGGGAGCUGGGGGUACCUGAAGUUCGUGACCCGCGAGGGAGCGACCUAGGGUAAACUCAGUGACUGGGGCUAAGUCGUAACAAGGUAGCCGUAGAAUC